GGUCUAUUAGCUCAGUUGGUUAGGGCGUGGUACUAAUAAUGGAAUGCCAAGGUCACGGGUUCGACCCCUGUAUGGACCA
Transfer RNA from Sphaerobolus stellatus SS14, 79 nucleotides. It matches the Rfam family "tRNA". From Rfam's summary of the family: Transfer RNA (tRNA) molecules are approximately 80 nucleotides in length. The record is from Rfam. Lineage: Eukaryota; Fungi; Basidiomycota; Agaricomycetes; Geastrales; Sphaerobolaceae.